RNAcentral lists this non-coding RNA (30 nucleotides) under Rattus norvegicus (Norway rat). Lineage: Eukaryota; Metazoa; Chordata; Mammalia; Rodentia; Muridae. The record is from RNAcentral.
UUUGAAAAUGUCUUUGAAAUGUGAACAAAA